GUGGGAGGUCUCGGCAGCUCCCCAUGGCCUCUCCUGGGGAUUCCUCACCACAGGGCUUCGAGAGUGCGGGGCGGCUGCCGUAACCCAUGACCUAGUCUGAGAAUCCACAACCAUCUCUUCUGCACGUCCUCUUCAUCAGAAGCAGGACCCCAAGUACGGCCCACGCUCGGGAGGGGACUGGGCCGUGUCCUCUGAAGGGAGAGGUCAGAGAAUGGGGACGCCCCUGAGGCGGGCACUCCUGCUGCUGGGUCUCGCUGUCCUGCCGGGCAGCUCGGGGCUGCGGGGGGUAAGGGCCUGCGUCUGGGGCGCCUCCUGUGCCAGGCUGCGGUGGACGUCGACACUUACAGGUGAAGGGGAGCGUGUUGGGCUGCGAGGGCCCCUUUCACAGGUGGACAGCUUGAGGCUGGAGAGGGUGGCCCUUGCUGGCUCCCGUCCACCGUCCAGCCCACCCUCUCGCCCUGGUCUGCGGGCCUGUGCCCAGCAGCGCCUUCCCACCGGCCUGGGCAGCUGGGUCCUGGGGUUGGCCUGGGACCAAACUGGGCCACAGGAGAAACGCAGCCCUGCAGGCACACUUCAGACUCCCACCUCCAGAGUUUGAGCCACCGAGUUUGUCGCACUUCAUUGCAGCGGCCACAGAGGACUCGCACCGAGGCCCCACUGGGACCGAAGCCAGCUCUGCCUGUCUCAGUGCCAGGCUCCACCACCUGCCCGUGCUGAAGCUCGGGGCCUGGGUGCUCCUGCACCGGGUGGGCUGGGCGGGGGCAGGGUACGCUCCCUGGAGGGCAGGCUCUGGUCCCGGCUGCUGGCCUGGCUGGGGUGGGCGGGGCCGUGGCCGGGGGCCGCAGGAAGCCUCUGCGUUGCCCGCUGGGGCUGCCGUGGACUGGAGCAGCACCCUCCCCAGCCGGGCACCAGGCGGGCACAGACCCGGGCUUGUGGGGCUCGUGAAAGCACGCCUGUGUGCGCCAGAGACGACAAGCUGAGCGAUUGUUCCUGCCCCACCGCGGCCCCCGGGCCAGUGCCAGGGGCGCUGUGCAGGCCGGGCGCCGAGGGCCCUGGCUCCUCAGCUGCCCUGAGCUGGACGGGGCACCGGUCCUGCCCUGCGGCAGCUUCUGGGAGGGGUUGGGCGUGGCCGGCGACCCCAGGAGGGCGGGGGGAGGGGCUGCUCACUCCCUUCCCAGGCCGGGGCACUGAGUCGGCCCCGUAAAUAUGUGAGUACAUAAGAAAGUGAAUAACCUGGGGGUCGGAGGGGGACAUUUUGGGAGAUCCCGGCUGGGGCUUGCACAGGCCAAAGAGAGACCUCGACCGAAGGCUCACGCUGCACAGAGCCAGCUGGGCAGGCUGGCAGCCGAGCCGUCGUCAGAGGCAAUGCUCAGAGCUCCACUCGUGAGGGGAGCUCCUGAGAAUUAAAAACGUCGCCCAGCAAAGGGCCCUGUGGAGAAGGUGACGACCGUGGGGACGUCGUCAAGCGUGUGUCCCACGAAGGCGCGUCUCACACGGGGAGCCCUCGGAGCCCGACGAGGACACGGACGGGCCGGCACGGGAGGCCGCACGGUGGCUCGGACGUGCGCGUCCUCGGCCGCGAGGGAACGCGAACCACAGCCGGGGAGACGCCGGCCGCGCCCGCGAGGACGGCCGUGAUGACCGACGGUGACAGCGCUCAGUGCUGGCGAGGAUGCAGUGGGGGCCGGCGGCAGACGGCAGCCCCGCGAAGGCAGCGGCUGCCGUGCAAACAAAACCGAGCAGAACGUGCGGCCACCAUCCCACCAGCUGUCACGGGCGGGCGCGCGGCCCCGGGGUGUGGGGACACGCGCACACGACGCCCGUGCACAAGGGGGGGUGGCCGCUUCACCUGCUGAGCCCGAGCUGGAGACACCCAGACGCCGUGAGUGUGGGGCCAUGCACCACAGGACACUGCUCAGCCACACAAGGAGCCGUCCAUCACCCGGCUGGGCGGCGGAGUCAGCGGGCGGCAGUGACUCACCCAGAGGUCAGGCAUUUCCCAGCUGGCCCCCGGCGGCCAGGCCCCACUGCAUGGGCCUGGGGAAGGGCGACGCCUUGUCCGGGAGCCCCUCAGCACUGGCCUGCUGGUCAGGCGGAUUCGGGGGUCCUGGGCCCUGCUGUCCAGAGCCUUCCCAUGGCCACCGCUGGCCACAGGGCCUCUGUUCUUGAGACUCAGCUCCAGACCGGCCCCCGAGGUCUGCCCCAGCCUCGGCAGACGGCAGCUCAUCCCGCGCCUCCAGGCAGCCUUUCCUAUGUCACCAACCUCAUUGACCUCUUGGCCUCUCCUGCCUCCCGGGCUGUGAGCGACUUGGGAAGCUGUGACUGAGCUCCAGUCGGGCAGGGCUCCAAGGCCAGGGAGGCUUCCUCCUAGCCUCCUAGAAUCCGGACUCUUCUAGAGCCUCUCCUGGGCCUGGAGACCUAGAACCCGGGGCACGCCUGGGGGCCACCAAGGUGCUCAGAGCCUUUUCAUGGGCGUCGCUGGCCCGAGGCGGAGCUUGCGUGUGUGCUGCGGAUUUCUCAGUCUACGUGUGGGACUUGCGGCCGUGUAGAAGGCCACGGGGUCUGUCUUGGCUGCUCCGAGCAGGGGCUUCGCGCCAGCUCCAUAUUGUGUCUGCCUCCAGGCCAGAGCCCUGUGUCGCUCCACUGGAGACGUCCCUGUCAGCCUCCGCGGUCAGGCUUUCCUUGCCUUCUGCAGCCGGAGAACCCCGGCUGGUAUGCUCCAGGACGCCCUGGACGACGGGCCUGGCAGACCCUGCACUCCUGCGCCGUGCCCGACCGGGGUGGGGUCGGCAUCUGGCGGGCCGGCCGAGGCACGACCCCGGGCUCGGUAACCUAACGGGCCUCGCGACCCGGUCCUGUUCCUCGAGUGCUAUGCCACCACAAGUCCCUUCUCUUCUCUGGGCCUCGACUGGCUCGUCCAAGGGGUGGGACUAGUGACACCACCUGCGCCCAGGUGUGCCGGUGAAGCGGGGUGCGGGCACGGGGGCGGGCAGGCCGGGAGCACUUGCUCGUGCGAUUCUAACCACGUCAGCAUGCGUGAGGGUUACCCGCCCUGCCCCGGGCACGCGAGAGACAGGCCCAUGUGUCCGCACCCUUUCCUGCAGAUGGCCUGGCGUCUGGGCUGCAGGGUGGCCUCGUCCCUGCCCCCAGCCUGGAACGCUCCCCUCCCCGUCCCCGCCCUUCCUGCUGCUCAUUGGGCCGAGCGGCUCCCUGGGGCUGGUCUCUGAGUGUGCCAAUGAGGGGCGCCCAGGCGCUGCCAGGGGCCCCCAUUCUGCAGAGGUGACACAUACGUCCUUGGUCCCUGCAGCUUGCCCUCGCCGUGGUUUGCAGUCGCCUGUAACAUCACUGUGAAACCUCGAGACAUAAAGAGCCAGCUGCGUUCUGCGGCACAGGGACCUCGUCGGCUUGUGCACAGCUGUCCCCCGGCUCCAUAUGCACAAUCGGGACCCAAACGUUUGUCGAAUGAAUGCAUGAUGGACUCUAAGCCCCCAGAAAACCUCGCGGGGACAACUUGGAUCAGAAGGCAUUGAGCUGCUGUGCCGAGGAGCCCCAGGCUCCUUAGCCGAGGUAGGGAAAUCGGGAGCGGGGUCCGGGGCCAUCGCCAGGUUGCCGUGGGGAUGCAGGAGCCAGGGCUGGAACACCGCCUGGGCCCCCUGGCCCCACGCGGGUCUUCCGAGCCACCGGAGUCAGAAGACGUCCAUCACGCUGCUCUCGGUGAGACCAUCGUCACUCCCAAACUCCCCCGUUACUUACACGCUUCGGGGGGGCCCCCGAACCCCGAACCCCGGGAACACCUGCGUUUCACUUUUCCUAUAGAGCAGACCGGGUGUCCCACGAUCUAGAUGUCCCAGUGUAAGCUCUCCACGUGGUGUGCACGGGCCCUUCUCCAAGUGGCCAUGGGGAGGGUGGGACAGCGGCAGCCAUCCUGCCCAGGGGAGGUGGACCUACGCUGCCCCCAGCCCGGCUGUGGCCACGCCCUGGGCACUGGGCUUCGGAUGCUUCCGUCUGGGGAAGCCCGAGGGCCAGUUGGGAGGUGGGGCCCGUGGGCAGUGGCCAGACCCAGUUCCCCGCCUCCCCGAGCUGGAGAAGGGCUCUGCCCAAGGUCACUUCCUCUCCCAGCCGCGGGCAUCUCGCCCAGAGCAGCUGCCCAAGCGCUCUGCGCCUGCCACCCCCACACCUUCCGGUCCAGGACUGGCUGCCUCUGGCUUCCUUCUGGUCACCUCCACGGCCAGGCGCAGUGCAGGCCCCUGGCAUCUGCCACCGCUCCCGCUGGCUCCCACGCCCACCUUCCCUCCUCACAGUCCGGCCCCAGACGGCCGAGAGCCACAGACAUAGCAGCCAGGCCUUUCCGGCCCCACCCGCCCACCCACCUCACACCUCCCUCCCUGCAGCCCCGACCCCCAGGCCUGAGCACCCCGACCCCUCACCCUGCCUGGACCCACCCUCCCCCGGAUCCCCACCCGUGACCCCACUCUGCCCAGGACUGAGGGACACUUGGCAUGGCAAGAAGCCACAGAGGCGCCUCAGGCCUGAGUGCCGGACGGCCCCAUGGGGGUGGGGGCAGCCUCCCCCUCCCACUUCAGGAUCAGACUCCAGGGCAGCUGUGGGAGACCAGGAACCUUCCAGAAUGAAAUGCAACCCGCCUGUGGGGUGGAAGCCUUCCUGUCCCUCGGGCGGGCAGUGCUCAAGGAACAGGGCGAUAACUGCUGGAGCCCCAAAGAGUGCUGGGGUGCUGGGGGCGGGAAGGGCAGCGCUGCUCUGGCCCCGGCCAAGGGGUGACCUGGACAAGGCUGCUUCCGCUCCAGACCCCACGCUGUCCCUGUGACCUGGGGAGCAGGGCAGGGCGGCAGAGACCCUGGGUCCGGGACCUCUGGUUUCUGGAGGAGCAGGAGGGGGUGUGGUCACACCGCGACUCCAGGCCCUCAGGGGCCCCCAACACCUGCAUCUGCAUCCUGGCCAGGAAGCCCCUCGGAGCCCAGGCUGGUGGGUCUCGCUGACCUCAGACCCUGCCUUGCGGGAGGCCACCAGGGUGUGAGCCUGGGUCUUCACUGCUUGUCCCCUCGCUCAGCAGAUCUCAGCAGCCCCAGUACCUGGCCGGAUCUGAGAGGGGCUCCGGGGACCCCUCCCCAUCCCCUCCGCCCCGCUCCAGGCCCCACUGGUGCCGGGACACAUGACGACUGAGAGGAGCCUUUGCUGCCAGGAGAGCCCGGGCCCAGGGCAGACAAGGUGUGGACGCGGAGCGGCCACCCGCAUGCAGCCUCCUGGCGUGUGGAGGCGGAGCGUGUGCCAGGCCUGCCUCGGUGCCGUCAGGCCCGGUCGCUCAGAACCCGCACGGCAGCCACUGGGGCCCGUUUUCUAGACGAGGCAAAGGGGCUCGGAGAAGGGACGAGAGCUGCCAGGGCUGGACCCUCAGGCCUGGGCUGGGCCGUGGGGUUCUCACCCGGGCCCCCCACGCCCCCCCGCAGACACGCACCUCCCUGUUCCCGCCCAGGUGUGGUCUCUCUGCCCAGAAGCUGGGCUGGGACCCGGGCCCGCCCCCGCCACCAUGGCCUGUCACUGCUCAUAAAACCUCUUGUUUAUGGGUCGAGCCACCACCCCAGGAGGGCCAGCCAGGUGGCCCUCAGAGGGCGUCCCCAAGCAGUGCUGCAAAGGGGCGGAAGGUGUGGGGAGGCAGUGUGGUGCAGCGGGCAGUCACCUCGCCGGUGGUGGCAGGCUGGGCCACACCCCGCCUACGUGAGCUUGGACAGUGGCUGGACCUCAGGCCGCUGUCCCUCCAGUGCUAGCCCCUGCUGGAUUAGGAGGCCUGGGCAGAGCUGAGCAGACCCUCAUCUAGGCCUCCACGGUCCCUGUACGGUCCUCGGCCCAGCAGAGACCUGUCUCUGAGGCCACCGGCCCGUGCACUGCCCCUCCUAGGCUGCGAAUGAGGGAGAGCAGAGUGUGGCCCAGGUUCUGGCACAUUCCACUGAACAUGCUCAUGGCGUGUCGCGCUGACCCACCAUCAUCCCUGGGACUGCAGUCUCAGUGGUAAGUGGGUGGACGGGCCCUGAGCUGCUGAGACCACUCAGCAGGGCAGUGAGGCCACACACACAGCAGCAGGCCCCAGAUGUCCGGCUCCCACGGGCACAAGGGCGGGUGGGGGGCCCGGCCAGGGUGGCUGAAAGCGGUGAGGGGCCAGCUGCAGCAGCGGGCGUGGGGUCCAGCAGGGGGCGUCCCACUGGGGUGCUCUGUGAGCCCCUCAGCCCAGGCUGCACCAGCUCCAGUGGGUGCCCACCUCCAGCUGGGAGGGCCUUCCAGGGCCUGAGGGCACCCCGGUGUGUGAGGGGGUGCAGGCAGGGGCGCAGGGCCCGCCGACUCAAGGGAAGCGCAGCACCCUGCCCACUGUCUGCUGUCCGUGGGCACGACGGUUCUCCUGUGGGACUCCGGCCACCUCAGCACAGCUCCUGGGCUGGGGCACCGGCUCCGGGGGUGGCAGGUGAGAGACGUGGGGCUGCCGAGGGGGUGCCCCGGGAAGCGGGUGGGAAGGGCAGGACGCGCGGUGGCGAGGGAGGCCGCCUCAUGUGGACUCUGGCCUGCUCUCCACACCUGUGGGCCACACCCUGUCCAGUCCUCUGUUGGGGCCACAGCCAGGGAAAGGGAGACUGUGCAAGCCACGGGGUUGGGGGGGGGGCUCGGGUGGGCAGCAGGAGGGACCUGGGCCACCACAGAAUGCCGCUCUGGGCGAAUCCCCGCCACCGGACGAGACCCGAGUGGGUGCGUGUCUGGGGGAGAUGGGCCCCCUCCUCCAGGGAGGCCGCCAGGAGAGCACGAGCCCUUCACUCAGUCCCUUCCUGAGCGGGAGCCCCAGGAAAACAGUUGCAGUGCACAGAAGGUGGGGUUCUCUGUCCCGCCCCCACCCCAGCCCCUGGCUCAGAGGGGGUGCUGAGACCUUGCCUUUCUCAGUCUGGGAGGGUUUGGGGAGGCUCUCGAGGAACCCCUCCCCCUAGCUCGAAGGCACUGCCACCCUCCCUGCCCAGCCUCCUGGGUGACAGGGAGCCCUGCAGAUCCCCGGACCAGGCUGGCCUGGCACAGCUGGGUGGGGAGCGAUGGGCUGGCCACGGGAGAGCAGGGGCGGGGAGCAGGGGGAAGAGGGGAGGAGGCCGGGGGAGGGGAGGCUGAGGAAUUGAAAGUGCAUUCCCGACAGAUGACGUAGCUCUGCAGCCUGGGGGGGGGCGAUGCCCUUCUCUGGAAGGUCCCUGGGAUCCCUCCCUCAGCUCCCCACUUCCCCCCCCCCACAGGGAGGUGGGUGGGGCCAGGCUGGAAGGAAGGAAAAGUCCAGCCUGGGCCCCCCACGCUGGCUCUGCUCAGAUGCCACCUCCUCCCUGAAGCCGCCUUCCUUCCAUCCCUCCUGGGGGACCUGGGGUGCCUUUGGGGAGCCUGGCUUCGUCCCGUCAGACGUGGGCUGGCCCGGGAACUCGUGGGCAGGGCCUAGGGGGCCCAGCAGACACCUGCUGAGUGCCAGAGCUCCAAGGCAGGGCCCCAGGGCUGUCGGCUGUCGCUGGCUGGUGUUGGGGCCCUGGGGAGGCAUGGCGGGGUGGGGUUCCCCAGCACCACCCCCCCAGGCUGCCAGGGCCUCUGAGGGGACUCGGCCGGGCUUUGCUGUGGACUAGGCAGGCACUGGAUGUCUCCAUGCUCCCUGUGCACCAGGCAUUUUUCUAGGUGCUUCUGUGACUCCCCAUUCACGCCUCCGACCCCUUUCUGUGGGACCGCCACCCGGUUUCUCAGCUGAGGCUCAGUGGGUGCCGUGCGUGCCCCCCCGCUGGGUGCUGAGGCUGCCCUCGGCUGGGCAGCAGGCAGGCCCGGUGUGCAGGGCGCUCCCUCCUCAGACCCAGGCUGGUGGCAGGUGAACCGGGGUCCUGGAGACAGGGACAGUGGUUCUGGGGGGACCUUCGGGAAGGUGAUAAGCCAGGCCUCUGUCCCUACGUCCACUACCAGAGGAAUGCGCCCCCUUCAGUGAACAAGGCCUUGCCCAGGCCUGAGUCAGCUUCCUCCCCAGUCUGGACGACUCGGCCACUUGGGGGAGGCCGUGUGGCUCCUGACCCUGGGACUCGUCCUCAGAGGCCGAGGGGACGCUGUACUUCCCUGUACGCCCUCACCAGGGCACCUCGGCGAGGGAGCUCGUGUACCCCUGGCGAACACCCUUGAGUCGAGGGGCAGCAAGUUCCAAAGGUGCCCGUCAGGCCUCGGCGGCCCCACCGACAAAGCCACCAGUUACGCCACUUCAGACUUCCCGACAGAAACAGAGAUCAUCAGUCUUUGUUGCUGUUUUAAUUUCUCAGUCUCGGGAUGACUUGUUAUGCAGCGGUCGCCUCUGGAGACGGGGCCCAGAGUGGUUCUAUAACUCACCCGCGGAACAUGCCAGAAAGAGGUGGAGCCUGGGAUGGGACCCAGUCACCCGGGCACCGAGCUGCUCUCUUCCAGGGUCCCGCUGCCGGGCUGGGGUUCUGGGAUCUUCGUUAGGCACCUUGCAACCCCGAGGCCUCAGCCUGGCCGCACCGAGCUGCUUCAUGAGGGGGUGCGGGGGAAGGAGCUGCAGAGUCAGAGGUCCCGUGGCUCUGUGGGCCUCCGACUUCCAGGACCUCAUAGGAGGCAGGGCGGGGCAGGCCUGGGCCCUGGCUGGCCCCGGGCCUCGCCAGCAGAAGCAUCUAGACUUCCGAUGGCUGCGUCUGCUUCUGCCCACGUUCGCUUUGCCGGAGGAGGCUGGUGCAGAGUGCAGAAUUAUUUAUAACGUGUUAUCUGCAGGAACAAUGCUUUGUAACUUGGGGCGGGCCCAAGACUUGUGAAGGGUGGUGCUGCCAGGACCCAGGCCACCACCUCCCAGGCCCUGCACACGAGGCUGGAGCUCUUCCAGCAUCUUCUGGUGGCUUCCUUGUCACAGAGCCAUUAGGGUGACUCUGGAGCAGAGAAGGACCUGGGCUGAACAGUCACUGUCCUGUUGAGCACAGACCCCAGGGCAAGGGGACAGUCGUCCUGUGGGACGGGGUGGGGCUGGGACCUGGAUGGUGGUGUUGAGAUGGGGACCGGUCAGGUUUCAGAGACCCUUCGAGGGUUCCGUCAACAAGACGUCCGGGCAGGCGGGAGGAACGUGUGCGACAAGGUCCGGGUCGGCUCUGAGACCACUGCUCUGUGCCCCCAGGUGGACGGGGUCUCUGGCUGGCUUGCAGAAGGCCUGGGGCCGUCAUGGCCGUGCUCGGGCUGACCUGGGCAUCCACUGGGGGGGUGGUGCUGAGUGGGUGGUUAGCUUUGGGGGUCUGGGGUUCAGGACAGAGAGCCAGGCUCGACUCACCAGCCUGGAGGUGGCAUGCAGCUGUGAGACUGUGUCGGCCUGCCGGGGACGGAGCAGGCGGUAGGAGCCGGCCCUGGGCUCGCCAGAGAGAGGGGGCCGCUGGGAGACGAGGAGCUAGCAAAGCGGACGAGACCGGGCAGCCCGGGGGACGCAGCAAAUCAGGAGUGGGGUGUCCUGGAAGCCAGCGAGGGCAGCGUGUCCAAGAGGGGACGUGGCACCGGGCCCCAUGCUGCUGUUAGGUCCAUCGGAGACCUGACUGACCAGUGCCACAGUCUCACGAGCCCCUGGGGGGCUCGACAAUGGGCUGGGGUGUGGGUUGGACACAGGAGUGGGCAUCUGGCCCUUCCUGGCCACGGACAGCCUUCCGAGGAAGAGCUCCGGUCUUGGGCCAGAGCCACCGAGAAUGGGGCUCUUUCUCACUCCGUGUGGAUGAGGAAGCCUAAGCCACUUCCUGUCACCAUGGGGGACUUGGCUGGAAGAGGACGUUGCAGUAGACAGGACCACUGAGACGGAGCGGGACGCUUGAUCAGACCGCUCCUGAGGCCGUGUGCAUGGGCCGGCCAGGCCGAGAGGCGGGCGAGCCGCUUGUCCGUGUGUGUGUGUGUGUGUGUGUGUGUGUGUGUGUGUGUGUGUGUCCACCGCACCUCCGAGGGGUCGCGGCACGAGGGCAGGGUCAGUGCGGUUCACAUGUGUCUCCGGUGCUGAGCACAGGGCGCACACGCGGUCCAGCGGGCACCCGAUAAGUGUUUGUCGUCGAAUGAGUGCGUCUUAGGCACCGUCAAAGCGGGAGAGACAGGCUGAGUGAUAAACUCGCCCAGGGUUUCAGCCAGCAGGUCUGGAAGUGACUCUCCUGUAGAUCGAGGCAGGGUCGCGGGUGCUGGGCAGUUCUGUCUUGGAUUUCUUGGGAUGAGGGGCGCCCCAUGACCUUGGCAGCACUGAGGGGUCUGGAGGGUCAACAGGAGCUGCUGGCACAGGGCAGAGGGUGGCCCCGUGGGGCUGUCCCCCAGCCCGACAGGCAUGGCCGUGUUCCCUGCCCCACCUGGCCCUGCCUGCGCCCCUGUGCAAGGCCCUCGGGGUACGGCAGAGGCGCCCGCUGUCUGCCCGCCGUGGCGCGGUGUCUGCACAAACGUCGCUGCGGGCAGCCGUGUCUUUAACGAGACGGGCGAGCACGGUCUACCCUCGGCCUGCGCCCGGCUCUGUGCUGAGCACCUUUGGCGUCACUUGGAGUGACCCAGCGGGCAGCUGCCCCCACCCUGUCAGUCCCCUGCUGGCUUCGAGGCUCGGAGAGGCGAGGCAGCUAGCCAAGGGCUGCACGGCCAGCAGGUGGUGGCGCUGUCCCCACAGCCGGAACUGGUUCCUCUGGGCCUCGGCCUGCCCUCCUUGUCAGCGCCCCUGUGACGCCCAGGGGUGGGUGCACAGUAGGUGCUCAGGCACCUGAGGCCCUUGUGCUGUCCCCAGGGGGAAGCACCUGGCUGCAGAGAAGCUGUGGGCCUCUCCCACACACCUGGAGGUGGCCCUCAGGUCACAGCAGGACAAGGGGAAGGUUAUCUGACAGGACUUUGCUCUCCUGCUGAGAAAAACACUUCUCCAGAGUCACAAGCAAGGAGGUUUUCCAAGUUCACUCUCCGCUUGGCCCGAACCCUCCCUGCCCCCUCCGCCUGUCGAAAGGGCAGAUUGCGUGUCCCCAGGGAGGAAGGGGCUGCAGGGUCCCCCAGAGCAGAGUGAGCCCGCGCGCGGUGCCCGCCCCUGCUCUGACUGGCCAGGCUCGUGGUGGGGGGCUGAGGGCAACCCGACAAGUCCUAGACUUGGGGUCCAGCCUGGCCCAUCGGAGCUCCGUGCCCCCCACCCCAGGCCCGUGACAUGCAGCCCUGACGCUCUGAAAAGUGUGGGUCCGGGUGGGAGUGAGGGGGCCGCUGCGUGUCCCCUGCGGAGAGAGCAGAGGCGAAGGCUGAGGGCCCAGCGUCCUGAGGCCGCUCGCCCUGGAGCCCAGCAGCCACGCGACCGGCCACGCACCCUGGAGCCCAGCAUCCUGAGGCCGCGCACCCUGGAGCCCAGGAUCCUGAGGCCGCGCACCCUGGAGCCCAGCAGCCACGCGACCGGCACCCGCCCCCGCUUCCUCGGGCCGCUUUGCGCUGGGCCCUUGUCACAGCAGCCAGGAGUCCUGACGCCUACGGAACUGCAAGGUGGAGGUGGCUCUGACCGUUUCUCUGCGUGACGGGGGCUGCGGGUCCCCCUGCCCGGCUUCCUCCGCCUGACCCUCUGAGCCCGCGGACGUGGGCAUUUGGGGGCCUAUCUGAGGUCACGUCCCCACACGCUUAGCACGGUGCCACUCACACAGGACACGCAUCUGUCGAAGGGCCACCGAGCCGUGAGGUUCCCUGAGGGGCCCCAUCUCCAUUCUGCUUGGGCUCCCCGGAGGGGAGCAGUCACGGCCACAAAUGCGGGCGCACUGGGGGGCGUCGCUCUGCCUCCUACUCAUCUCCCCACCCCUUUAUCUCCCGCCCCCUCCCCUGCCUGGCUCUGCUCCCCUUCUUCUCCGUGCUGCUCUCCCAUUCAGUGUCCCCCCACCCUCCUCCCUUCCCCGUCUCCUGCCCCACCCCCCAGGCCUGGCCUCAGGGAGCCACAGUCCAUCCCCAGAAGGUGGUGGCUUCCCCGGGCGGAGCCCACUGAGGCCCGUCGUUGCCUGUGCCCUGCCGGCUCCCGGGGUGGGGGCACCUGAGCAGCACAUCAUGGACUCCCGGACACCAAGUGAGAAGAAGCUGGCCUGGCGGCCACGCUCUGACCGCUGCGGAUGGCACUUGGAGGACGUGAGCGCCCGGGCUCGGCCUGGGGCUGCUGGGCAUGAGCGCAUGGAGCAAUGUCACUGUCCACACGAAGGCACCGUCUUCCCAGCCGAUGGCUGAGUGGACACGGGGCCCGAGCACGGGAGAAGGGUGGACGGACGUGUCUGAUCACGCCAGCUGGCUCCUGCCCCAGGGUCUUUGUGCAUGCUGUUACUGCUACCUGCAAAGCUACAUCCAGGUCUUCCCCAAAUCGGCCCCGUGUCACAUAGGCCUUCCUGACCACCCCGGAGCCCUCACCUGACAGCACUCGCUCAUCGUUUCCCGAGGCCGUGGGCGCCAUCCUGUGCAGUCCCCCAGUGCUCCGCACAGUGCCUGGCACAUGUGUUUGUUCAAUGAACGAGUGACUACUUCUUGAAGCGCCCUCCGAGCUGGCCGUUACGCAGGGAAGGUGGCCCAGCGCUAAACGGCCUGCUUGCGGUCACACAGCGGGGAGGCUGGGCAUUACAGAGUAGGAACUGACCCCUGGCCCGCUGGUCUCCAGGGCUCUGCUGCCUUCUGGGAGGAGGCAGCAUCCCCCUCCGCCCCGAACUCACCUGGUGAGCCCUGCCACGUAGAUGUGAACUCUGGGUGUCUAUACUAGCCUUGUCCAGCAGAAAAACAAUUUGAGCCACACAUGGCAUUUAAAGUUUUCUAGUAGCCACAUUUAACAAAGGAAAAGCAAACAGGUGAAAUGAAUUAUCAUCACAUAGUUUAAUCGACAUAUCAAAUGUUGUCAUUCCGACAUGAUUAAUUGAUAUAAAAAUUACUAAUGAGAAAUGUUAGGCUCUUCACUUCCACACAAAGUCCUCUAAGACUGUGUGUGACUUAACCAUCCAGCACGUCCCAGUUCCGACCGGCCACAUCUCCAAUGCCUGAUGGCCACCCGGGGCUCAUGGCUCCCGGACUGGACAGCCCAGGUCUGGCCUUCGAUUCUUGAAGCUACCGAGUGUCCGACGAUGUAGGUUUUCACACACAAAAUAUUAAAACAUUGAUUGUGGGCUCACAUGCUAUUUUAAACUUCAUUUCCAGCUGCAUAUUUAGAAAAGAAAAUAAAAUCAUUUAAUAGGGAGUUUAAAAAAACGCUGAGCUCGACCUCCCUGCCUCUUGGCUGUCUUCUCCCUUUCUGGGGAGCCUGAACUGGAAAGGCUUGAUCCCCAGCUACUGGGGGCCUGGGGCGCCGUAAGGUAAUGACUUAAUGAGCCCCUGUCUGGGCACUUUUGAUCUUCAGGGAGCAGUGCCCACCUGGCUGAGGCUGCUCCAGGGUUAAUUGCCCUGAUCCAGGAAAGCCUUGCCCAGAGAUAAAGGACUGCAGGGCUCCAUCGUGACAAAUUGUUUUGCGAUCUGCUCCGGCACCAGUGGAGGCCCAGGUGUGGACGGUCAGCGGGCCCCCACCCCUAGGACCCUGGCGUGGGCAGAUGGGCAGCGGGCUCUGCAGGUGUGUGUGUGUGUGUGUGUGUGUGUGCGCAAACACGUGUGCAUGCUGUCUCUCCUGGGCAGGACGGAGACUCUCUGUUGGGGAGGCAGCUCUGCAAGGGGGGAGGGAUGAUCCACCUCCAUUUUCCGGAUGAGAGAACUGAGACUUGGAGCGGUCUAGGGACAAACCACACCAACAAGGUCAGGGUCAAGGGGCACAUGGCAGCCAGGCCUGGCGUGCCCCUCCCCGUCCCUCUGCACUUUGGGACUGGGGAUCGGGUGUGGGCUCCAAUCUUGCUGCCUUUAUCGCUGGUGGCCACAUCAUCCUCACACAUUCGUCUGUGACCUGCGGGACAAGUGCCACCUAAUUCCAUCCUGUGCCUCAACAGAGCAUGUGCGCAGCGGCCCCAGCCUGUCUUCACUGCUGGGACUGAGGGCAUCCGAAUGCUCCGUCUAAGAAAUGGGGGCGGGACGUAUCUUCACUGCCGGGGUCUGUGUGAGUGACACGAAAUUGCAUGAGGCCGAGAUGACUCCCACGGUGAAGUAACAGUGUGGAGUGCCAGCUGGUGCCAAGCCCCUGGCGGAGUUUGAACGGGGUGAGCUGGCGUGUAGGGUGAAUGCUGGCUGCACACCACACAGGGCGCUGGGCUCUUUGACAGGCCCCCUCCCUCCUCCGAGGGAAGGACAAGGCCCUUCCUGCUCCUCCCCAGGCCGGAGGGAAGCAGUCACCUCAGCUGCGUCUAUUUGGAACACCUGACUCACGUAAUUACGGGCCUGCGGGCACGUGGGGGCGCCCGGGACGCCGGAGAUGGCCCGGAAGCACCGGCUCCGGCUCCGGCUCUGGGGGCGACUGGCCCUCCCCGCCGCCAGGUGCACCGUCACCUCCCACGAGCACCCCUUCAGCCGGGAGAUUCCCCUGCGCCCCCUUCUUCCGCCGCGGCCUCGGGCUGGCCUGCGGGGCCCGUGCUCGCCGCCUGAGGUCUUCACGCGCGGAACCGGAGUGGGCGUGGCCGCCUGGGUCCCGCGGCGGAGCCCCGAACGCCGUGCCUGCGCCUCCUGACUCAAGUAUAUUUAGCCUCAUUAUCGAAUGUUUGCAGUGAACCGUGUGAACCUAAUAGCGGCUGGAAGUGAAACUCGAUUCCCAGGCAGAAAGCAGCACGUGACCGCGCCUAAGCAGGGGGAUCGCCCUGCCGGCGGGGCGCGGCGGUGCCCCCAGAGGCCUGGCCCCGCGCGGAAGGCCACCUCUUGCAGGGAGCAUCCUGCACCCACCUCCUCCCGCCGCCCCUUCUCUGGAGGCCGAAAUGAGGGCGGUGCUGAGAGGGACCAGGGCCCGGGAGGGGUCCACGCAGGAGUGGUUCUCAUCCCAGCUGGUGACCUCCUGGUCAAGGCAGUCCCACGGUCUCCAUUCCCAGAUCUCGGAAGCAGAGCUUCUGCCAGUUUUUCUCCGAGGACGGGGAAGAGUGGGGCGAGCUGGGUUUGGGGGGCCCUGUCCCACCCCGGGCGGGCCCGGGUGCUCUAACGCGCGUGGUGCGCCCAGUUCCCCCACGGAGGCUCUGCGCCCUUGCAGAAGUUUUUGCCACCCUCGCGCGGCCGCUGUUGUCGUGGUCGCUAUGACGACGCGCCGAGGUUUUAUUUUUAAUAGCGGCCGGCGAUUAGAGAGAGGGAGGCCUGCGCGCUUCCCAGCGCUCUCCAGUCCUGGGGCGGGGGUGUGCCGGAGCUGCCCCUGCUCCCCGCCCUUGCUCUGGCCUGAGACUCCAGUCGGAGGCCCCCCUUUCGCAUCCCCAGAUCUCCCCUGGCCUCAAACUCGAACUGGGCGGCCCUAAAGUGCCAGACUGGGAAGGGGCACAGUCGGAAGCACCCAUCUGGGCUGCUCAGUGGUGGCAAGGACCCCCAGGAGUCAGGGACCUUCUGUGCAGAGCUUGGAGCCAGAAGGGCCCCACCUCCUCUGAAAUACAAGCGACCUUUCCUCCUUCGUUCCCACACCUGCUAUCAAAUUGAGUUCUUUAACCCCAAAAAAGUGUCUUUGCGUCCCCUCUGCCCGAGAGGAAUCCGAGGCCCGACGGGGUGAUUCAGUCAACUCUGGGAUAAGUUGGGGACAGCUUGGACUGAGUCCAGAGUCCUGGCAGUGAGCAGUCGGGCUGCCUUCCAGAAACUACCAGUGGUCCCUCUUGGAAGCAAUAGAAGGUUCCACCUGGACGGACAAGGACUGGCUUUCAGGGCUUCCAAACGUCUCCACGCUUUCCCUGGUUCGUUCUCCCUCGGCCCUCCACUCUGAACUGCCCGCACUGCGCUUGCGUGCCGUGGUCGCAGCGGCGUGGGAAGGCUGCAGGUGUGGAGGCCUAUGGAAAGGCGGGGCAGACCUGGGCCUCUGGGAACCGCAUGAGAAGCUCCCCACCACUCCCGCCUACCUCCAGGUAUUUGGGGGAGUGAGCGCCCCGAGGCCCCUCCGAGCUGGCCUUUGAAAUGCCAGACGGCCCCACCAAGGAUGAAAGGCCGCCAGCCGGGCUGCGCCUGUACUGCCUCUGUCCAGCGGGGCCGUUGGGGGUGGUUGGCGCAGGCGGGCGUUAUUCUCCUCUGCCACCCCCGCCCCCACCGGGGAGUCUCCUGGCCUCCAGGGGCUUCGGCCGUCUAACAUUGGGCUCCCUGGCCCGCCACGCCCCUAGCUCUGGUACCAGAACUCGUCCGCCCCCUCGAGGCACCGACACUGGCGGGCGACAGGGCCCUAAGCCCGGGUCCUAUCCCACCUGGUCUAGGGGGGCGGAAUCCACCCAGCCCGGGUGCACCCGCCCUUUGGUGGCGAGGGAGCCGUCCAGCUGAGCUCAGGCCUCCCGCUCCCCGCGCGUCCUGCCCCCGCAUCGCGCUCUGUGCCGCGCCUCGGCCGCAGGCGGCGCUCUGUGCGCCCGGCGGAUCCCGACACCGCAGGCUCCCACUCCGAGUGCCUCACGGGCGGCUCCUCUGUCUCUUCCAAACCCUUUGAGUUCCCGGCUCAGGCCGCAGACCGGCCUUCCACGAGGGAGUGGGGACGCGGGGGACGCGGGGUCCCAGGGUGGGGACGAGGCACGCUGCAGCCCCCUCCUCCGAUCUGGGCUCUCUCCCAUCGGAAUGUGGGUGGAGGUUCCAAAUUCAGACGCCCCAGGCAUCGGAUUGUGGGCGGGGGCGCGUGGCAGCCGCCAGGUGAGUGCCCCAGACUCGCCCCUAAACCCGCCCCACCUCUCACCAGAGACUCACUCCCCCUCCUUUUAUGGAGAGGGGGAGGCAGGGGCCCUGAAUCCCGACCGCGGAAAGAGGCCCAAGCGCCGCGGCGGGGGGCGGGGGCGGCCUGCUUUUGCCCUUUUUGGCGUCGCAGCUCUGGGCGCUGCCCUC
Long non-coding RNA from Pteropus alecto (black flying fox), 16920 nucleotides. RefSeq lists it as uncharacterized. The transcript is spliced from 3 exons. The record is from RefSeq and is a predicted model, not a curated record. NCBI's taxonomy places the organism in Eukaryota, Metazoa, Chordata, Mammalia, Chiroptera, Pteropodidae.